GGUUUUUAUGUGUCGUUAUUUUGUGGAUUUGUGAAUUAAAUAAAUAUGGAUAAAACUACAACUAUCAGGCUCACACAUCAACUGAAAAGCUGCUGGAAUAAUUUAAAGACCCAAAGAAUGAAAGAACUUUCUCAGGAAUCAAUCAAACGUUCUCAACACCCACUAGUAUCAAGAAAUUAAGAUUAGUAGUAGCAAGAAUGAAGAUUAAGACAGAAACAAGAAUCAAACGCACCACAUUGAAUAAUAUACAACAAGACCAGGCUUUGCACGAGUUGGGGCUACAAAGAGAAAAAAUAUUGAUAGAAAGAGAAAA
Long non-coding RNA from Ostrinia furnacalis (Asian corn borer), 313 nucleotides. RefSeq lists it as uncharacterized. The record is from RefSeq and is a predicted model, not a curated record. NCBI's taxonomy places the organism in Eukaryota, Metazoa, Arthropoda, Insecta, Lepidoptera, Crambidae. The transcript is spliced from 3 exons.